This 512-nucleotide ribosomal RNA is filed under the name uncultured bacterium. RNAcentral's name for it is "bacterial SSU rRNA". It matches the Rfam family "Bacterial small subunit ribosomal RNA", at positions 8 to 522 of the family's 1533-position model. The record is from RNAcentral.
AGAGUUUGAUCCUGGCUCAGAGCGAACGCUGGCGGCGUGCUUAACACAUGCAAGUCGAGUGCGCGUCUGUAGCAAUACAGAUGGCGCACGGCGCACGGGUGCGUAACACGUGGGUAAUCUGCCCUUCGAUGGGGAAUAACUUCGGGAAACCGAAGCUAAUUCCGCAUGACAUUCCUUGAACCUCGGUUUGGGGACUCAAAGCCGUAAGGCGUCGGAGGAGGAACCCGCGCACGAUUAGCUAGUUGGUAGGGUAACGGCCUACCAAGGCUUUGAUCGUUAGCUGGUCUGAGAGGAUGGCCAGCCACACUGGAACUGAGACACGGUCCAGACUCCUACGGGAGGCAGCAGUGGGGAAUCUUGCACAAUGGGCGAAAGCCUGAUGCAGCGACGCCGCGUGGGGGAUGAAGCUUUUCGGAGUGUAAACCCCUUUCGACCCGGACGAAUGCCCCGCAAGGGGACUGACGGUGCGGGUAUAAGAAGCCCCGGCUAACUACGUGCCAGCAGCCGCGGUA